RNAcentral lists this ribosomal RNA (207 nucleotides) under uncultured bacterium. Its description in RNAcentral is "partial 16S ribosomal RNA". It matches the Rfam family "Bacterial small subunit ribosomal RNA", at positions 568 to 774 of the family's 1533-position model. The record is from RNAcentral.
GAAGUAGGCGGCCACAUAAGUGGGGCGUGAAAUCCUUCGGCUCAACCGAAGACCUGCGCUCCAAACUGUGUGGCUUGAGUCCGGGAGGGGAGACGGGAAUUCCUGGUGUAGCGGUGAAAUGCGCAGAUAUCAGGAAGAACACCGGCGGCGAAGGCGCGUCUCUGGACCGGUACUGACGCUAAAUUCCGAAAGCGUGGGGAGCAAACA